This 404-nucleotide ribosomal RNA is filed under the name Actinomycetes bacterium. Its description in RNAcentral is "Actinobacteria bacterium partial 16S ribosomal RNA". It matches the Rfam family "Bacterial small subunit ribosomal RNA", at positions 355 to 776 of the family's 1533-position model. The record is from RNAcentral. Lineage: Bacteria; Bacillati; Actinomycetota; Actinomycetes.
UGGGGAAUAUUGGACAAUGGGCGCAAGCCUGAUCCAGCCAUGCCGCGUGAGUGAUGAAGGCCCUAGGGUUGUAAAGCUCUUUCACCGGUGAAGAUAAUGACGGUAACCGGCGAAGAAGCCCCGGCUAACUUCGUGCCAGCAGCCGCGGUAAUACGAAGGGGGCUAGCGUUGUUCGGAUUUACUGGGCGUAAAGCGCACGUAGGCGGACUUUUAAGUCAGGGGUGAAAUCCCGGGGCUCAACCCCGGAACUGCCUUUGAUACUGGAAGUCUUGGGUAUGGUAGAGGUGAGUGGAAUUCCGAGUGUAGAGGUGAAAUUCGUAGAUAUUCGGAGGAACACCAGUGGGGAAGGCGGCUCACUGGACCAUUACUGACGCUGAGGUGCGAAAGCGUGGGGAGCAAACAGG